GUGUGCCGAGUUUGUAGUGCAUUUUCAAUGGCACUCCGGAGUCAUGGGGGCGCGAAAUUGUAUUGUUGGGAUAUAAGAAUACCCCUUUUUGCACUGAAGUCUGUCGGUUCAAGGUUACCCCUUGUUGUGGAUUGUGAAGAGUUUAAGGUGCUAUGCAAAUUGUGUGGGGUAAAAACCGUUUUGUAAGAACGUCUAUUUCCCCGUGCAUAGCGAAGUCACCGUUUCUUCGUGAAAGUAUGAAAUAUCUCAUUGAAUCUGCUUCGUCUGAAACCUGCUCAAACUCAACAGUGAUAUUACUAAUAGAUAUGUUUCGUUCACAUAACAUGGCGCAUAAAAUCAGUUCUCGCUAUGAG
This is a long non-coding RNA of Maniola jurtina (meadow brown), 353 nucleotides long. RefSeq lists it as uncharacterized. The record is from RefSeq and is a predicted model, not a curated record. NCBI's taxonomy places the organism in Eukaryota, Metazoa, Arthropoda, Insecta, Lepidoptera, Nymphalidae. The transcript is spliced from 2 exons.